This 41-nucleotide transfer RNA is filed under the name Bambusa tulda. RNAcentral's name for it is "partial tRNA-His". Lineage: Eukaryota; Viridiplantae; Streptophyta; Magnoliopsida; Poales; Poaceae. The record is from RNAcentral.
GGCGGAUGUAGCCAAGGGGAUCAAGGCAGGGGAUUGUGAAU